Molecule: RNA transcript, 1178 nt
Organism: Mangifera indica (mango)
Lineage: Eukaryota; Viridiplantae; Streptophyta; Magnoliopsida; Sapindales; Anacardiaceae
Gene name: probable complex I intermediate-associated protein 30
Exons: 8
Source: RefSeq, a predicted model, not a curated record
UCCCCAACACCCAACAUCACCCCACCCGCCCCCCCCAAAAAAGGAAAAAAAACCACGCUUCUGCAGUUCUGCCAUGUAUGGAUUGUCAACUGUGGCGGUGAAGCGGUGAGUGACACUUAUCUUGGCCAACGAUCUACGGCAGCGACUUAUCAUAAGCUUUGGAGCUUUAAAGGGUUUAAGAGAUAUGUCAAGGUUUCGUGCAAUAUGGCAGGCUUCUUUGAAUGCUACAAAGAAAGCUCUUACAUGGAAAGCUGAGGAUUUGAUUCCUCCCACUGAGAGAUAUAUAUUCAAUUUCAAUUCAAGGGAAGAGUUGAAAAAGUGGCAUCUAUAUUCAGAUUCUGAAUAUGGAGGGUUGUCCUCGGCAUCUCUUGAGAUUGCGGAUACAGGAAAUGGAAUAAAAGGGGUUUUCUCUGGGAACCUUUCUCUGGAUGUAAGUGAGGGUUCAAAGUGGAACAUUACUCGGAGUGGCUUCUGUGGGAUGCGGUCUAAGAAGUUUGAUGGCUUCAUUGAUUUAGAUGCAUAUGAUACAAUAGCACUAAAGUUGAAAGGAGAUGGAAGAUCUUAUAUAUCUACUUAGAUAUACACAGAGAAUUGGGUGAAUUCACCUGGACAAGAGGAAGAUAAUUCAUGGCAAUAUUUUGUUUUUGUACCCGAAGAUAAGUGGUAUAUUGCAAAGAUUCCGCUUGCUCGAUAUUUACCAACAUGGAGAGGGAAUGUUAUAGAUGCUGACUUGGAGAUGAAUCCGUCACGUGUUCUCGGUAUGUCUCUAUCAGUGAAUGCAGAUGGUGGUGUCCCGGGUGCUAAAACUGGACCGGGUGAUUUCAGAGUUGAAAUUGAUUGGAUCAAAGCCUUGAGAUCAGUGUGACCAGUAAAAACUCUUAACAAUCCCUGUUUCUCUGCUAGUGUAAUAAGGUGUUAUAUUAUGUUUCAAAAGAAAUCAUGUUUCAGUAAUGUCAGCCGUAUCAUGGUAUGGUGAACACAAAUUAUCGGGGCAAGUUUUUUCUGAUGCCUUUAGAAUUCUUAGUAGGUCAAUCUUUGUUCUUUCCAAGCAGGAUAUGGAUACCGUGUUAAUUUAAUUUCCCCUAAUCUUUUAAUAGAUCUAGAGAGAGACACGUGGAAAGUUACACUUUCCACUUUAAUCCAAAAUAAGCAGCAGAACUUGUUCUGUUUGGAUCAAA